Sapajus apella (tufted capuchin) is the source of this 186-nucleotide small nuclear RNA. RefSeq annotates it as U2 spliceosomal RNA. The record is from RefSeq and is a predicted model, not a curated record. NCBI's taxonomy places the organism in Eukaryota, Metazoa, Chordata, Mammalia, Primates, Cebidae. The transcript has a single exon.
AUCAUUUCUCAGCCUUUUGGCUAAGAUCAAGUGUAAAAAUGUAUCUUUUCAGGUGGCUACUGAAUGUAAUUGAAUAACUGCCAUCUCCUGAUUUUGUCAUAAUUUUUUAUUCAUUGUCUUUAAAGAAUUCUUUAAGACCUUAACUGUAAGUUGCUUACUGUCCAAUCAAAUUGGUGUUGACCAUUG